Long non-coding RNA from Pseudopipra pipra, 511 nucleotides. RefSeq lists it as uncharacterized. Lineage: Eukaryota; Metazoa; Chordata; Aves; Passeriformes; Pipridae. The record is from RefSeq and is a predicted model, not a curated record. The transcript is spliced from 3 exons.
UUACCCAGAGGGUCUCCACUGUGCCUUUGACAACUGUGACCUCCAUACAUUCUAUCCCUUCUAUUACAUACAGCAUCACCUCUCGUCUCUUGAAGAGCCUGUAACCAUCCAACAGGGCACUCCAGUCACAAGACUCAUCCCACCAGGUUUCACUUAUGCCAGUGAUGUCAAAUUUCUGGGACUGGGCCAAAGCUUUGAGCUCCUAUUGUUUGUUCCUCAUGCUGUGUGCAUUGGUGGAGGAACUAAUGUAGGAACCACACUAGGAGACAAGACACUACUAAACAAACAAAUAAUUGUGUUAAUUGUAAUCAAUACAUAUAAAAGCACCUUGAGAUCACACGCUUUGGGUGUGCUGGAAGUCAACCCACCUCAGAAGAUCAGGUGAAGAAAAGGCCUGACAGCACUCCACUGCUUAUCACUCCCCAGCCUGCAGAGUGACCGAAACUCAUUUGCCAGCAAAUUUGCCUUUGGAUAAAAAUCAGAACUCAAAAAAAUAAAUAACGUAUCUUCU